Molecule: ribosomal RNA, 497 nt
Filed under: uncultured bacterium
Lineage: Bacteria
Description: partial 16S ribosomal RNA
Rfam family: Bacterial small subunit ribosomal RNA
Source: RNAcentral
GAUGAACGCUGGCGGCGUGCCUAAUACAUGCAAGUCGAGCGAACGGACGAGAAGCUUGCUCCUCUGAUGUUAGCGGCGGACGGGUGAGUAACACGUGGAUAACCUACCUAUAAGACUGGGAUAACUUCGGGAAACCGGAGCUAAUACCGGAUAAUAUUUUGAACCGCAUGGUUCAAAAGUGAAAGACGGUCUUGCUGUCACUUAUAGAUGGAUCCGCGCUGCAUUAGCUAGUUGGUAAGGUAACGGCUUACCAAGGCAACGAUGCAUAGCCGACCUGAGAGGGUGAUCGGCCACACUGGAACUGAGACACGGUCCAGACUCCUACGGGAGGCAGCAGUAGGGAAUCUUCCGCAAUGGGCGAAAGCCUGACGGAGCAACGCCGCGUGAGUGAUGAAGGUCUUCGGAUCGUAAAACUCUGUUAUUAGGGAAGAACAAAUGUGUAAGUAACUAUGCACGUCUUGACGGUACCUAAUCAGAAAGCCACGGCUAACUACGUG